UUCCCCUCCUCUCCCUCACUCCCCACCAGGAAAAAGCUGGAAAUAGUGAGAGAUGAGGGGAGGGAGACGGUGGCUCCAAAACGCAAUGGAGGCUCAAGGAAGACGUCAGCAGACGUCCUGUUAUAUCUACCACGGCCACGAGGCCUGGCUGCAAGUGAGAGGCAUUUCUGGUGGGAAAACCCAUCAUGGGCCCCCAGGGGAGACCCCUGCCCCUGCUGGCCCUGGGCUGCCCAUCUUCGAGCCAGGAAGAAUUACAGGGCUGACUCUGGAUAAAAGAUUAGUCUUCAGCCUGGGAAGUGCUCUGGCCAGCUGAGAGAGCUAUGUGAGGAGGAAACUGUCCUGGAUUUGCUCAUUCCCCACAGCGCCAACAGAGUGCUGAGAACACAAAAGGAAAUCCUUCUGACUUCUGGGAACAGAAGGGGCAGCAGGAGCUGUGAGCCUGAGCCAGGCCCUCCUGCUACUUCCUCAAAAUGGACAGAAGGAACCAGCUUUCUCGGGAAACAGGGCUGCUUAGCAAGAGGCCUCGGACCUGCCAUGGGAUGGAAGUAGCAAGAAAAACAAAGCAUGUCUGAGACCGAGGAUGCGAGUCAAGAAGAAGCUGAACUUGGCAGACCAGAUUCACAAAUCCAGGAUCUAGAAAUUUCCAAGUUUCUGUAAGAGGAAUGAAACCCAGCUCUGCAGUCACACGUGCCUGUGAUUUAUCUCCCCUCAACAACAUAGCCGUCUAGGAUCCCACAGAUGCUGCUUUCAAGGAACUUCAGAGGGUUCCUAGGAAAAGUUUGUUUCAAACUGAUGAAACCCCAAAUAUAUUGGAGAUCAAUAAUUUAAAGUGUCAGUAAGAUAAAAUGUUAAGAUAAGAAAAGAAUAUGGCCAAGUCAGCCAUACCUGGUGUCCAGCGAUGCUGAGGCUGCCACGCCUCUGGCAGCACACAUUGUCCAGAGUCAUGGUUAAUGAUGACAGGACCUGAGUCCUGUGAUCUAAGGUGGUGGACCCUGUAUACUCAUAGGUCUGUUCUGCGGCAGAAUUUUUUUUUUGAGGUUCUGGAAAUUUAACCUCCCUUUGUUUUUCCACCUUCUGAGCUUGGAUCUCCAGCUUCCACGGUAAUUUUAUGAGCUACCAAACGAUCAUUCAGACAAUUGAUUUUCUGGUUGAAUGAGAAUCAGUUUCUGUUAUUUCUAACUUAGACUGGACAGAGUUAUUGCAUAAAAUUCAACAAGUCAAAACAUAUUAGGUGGUUAUAAAACUAGGAUUGAAAAAAUAAUAAUUUCCACUUACGGCCAAAAAUGGAAUUUAUAGCAACAAGAUUUAUUCUCACACUUUAAGGAACUAGAAAACUGGACAAAAUGCAAAGAACAGGGGUUUUCACUCACCAAACAGGCAGUGCGAGGCUGCGAUCCCACGGAGAAGGGAACAAGGUGGGCCCCACAGCUGCACCCACUGACUGCCUGGAUGCAGUUUCCAGGCCUCAGCACAGGGAGGGCUAGCCCAAACCGGAGCCAGUUAUCUUGAUGAGUGGAAAGAGACAGAAAUCAGAGCUCAGAGAGACCCAG
Long non-coding RNA from Equus asinus (donkey), 1550 nucleotides. Lineage: Eukaryota; Metazoa; Chordata; Mammalia; Perissodactyla; Equidae. The record is from Ensembl.